GCUCCUCCCUCUGCGUUUUAUGCUUCUCCAUUCCCUCCCAGAGCGAUUCCACUUGAAGUCGAAGAAGGCGAUUCCAUCCCUCAAAGCGCCUCCGUCGAAGAUGGCACGUCCCUCCCAUCAAAGCCGCCGCCUUCUCUCCCUCAGUGUCUUGAUGGUUCUCUGAGACCCACACUGAAGUUCUGCCUUUAUUCGACCAAGGACCAAGGAGCCCCGCCACCGCACCACCGCACUCCAACUCCAAGGACUGGAAAUUGCCGAGUUGACUCAGAACCAGGGCGAUGAUGAGAGGAAAAGUUGGGCCUCUUUUCAAGAGUGCAUAGCCAAGGCCCUUGAACAGGUGUUAAGGGGACCUUAAUCGACGCAGGCCUUGCUGCUACCUAUUUUUCAUGCCUUGUUACUGUCCAAAUAAAAAAUGACAAGUCUUAUAACGCUUAUGUGACAGAAUAAGCAUUAUUAUGGUCAUAAGUUUGCUCUAGAAGCCUAGCAAACUGAUGUAAAAGCUUAAUUCCUUCGUAGUUUUCUUUCAUUGUCUGCUGAUAGUUCUUAUUACAAGUGACUUUAUGCUCACAUUCGCAUGCAGAGUCCUUAUAAUCUGGGCUUCUUGAG
Molecule: long non-coding RNA, 606 nt
Organism: Juglans regia (Persian walnut)
Lineage: Eukaryota; Viridiplantae; Streptophyta; Magnoliopsida; Fagales; Juglandaceae
Exons: 3
Source: RefSeq, a predicted model, not a curated record